AGUCGAGCGCAGGAAAUCGACGGAACCCUUCGGGGGGAAGUCGAUGGAAUGAGCGGCGGACGGGUGAGUAACACGUAAAGAACCUGCCCUCAGGUCUGGGAUAACCACGAGAAAUCGGGGCUAAUACCGGAUGGGUCAUCGGACCGCAUGGUCCGAGGAUGAAAGGCGCUUCGGCGUCGCCUGGGGAUGGCUUUGCGGUGCAUUAGCUAGUUGGUGGGGUAAUGGCCCACCAAGGCGACGAUGCAUAGCCGACCUGAGAGGGUGAUCGGCCACACUGGGACUGAAACACGGCCCAGACUCCUACGGGAGGCAGCAGUAGGGAAUCUUCCACAAUGGACGAAAGUCUGAUGGAGCAACGCCGCGUGAACGAUGAAGGCCUUCGGGUCG
This 387-nucleotide ribosomal RNA is filed under the name Exiguobacterium aurantiacum. Its description in RNAcentral is "bacterial SSU rRNA". It matches the Rfam family "Bacterial small subunit ribosomal RNA", at positions 60 to 425 of the family's 1533-position model. The record is from RNAcentral. Lineage: Bacteria; Bacillati; Bacillota; Bacilli; Caryophanales.